UGCUUUCAUGUUGCUUUGGCCGGGCUCAAAGCAGAUGGAAAGCG
Non-coding RNA from Drosophila pseudoobscura pseudoobscura, 44 nucleotides. The record is from Rfam. Lineage: Eukaryota; Metazoa; Arthropoda; Insecta; Diptera; Drosophilidae.